Long non-coding RNA from Dermacentor andersoni, 532 nucleotides. RefSeq lists it as uncharacterized. NCBI's taxonomy places the organism in Eukaryota, Metazoa, Arthropoda, Arachnida, Ixodida, Ixodidae. The record is from RefSeq and is a predicted model, not a curated record.
GCCAGCCGGUUGGGUUUUCCAACGAAACGCACCUACCAGCGGUAUAAAAGUCUGUCACUGAAGCACAAUUUCAUUCCCAGUAACUUUUGGGCAUCAACAGAGUGCAUCAAAAUGAACUCAGCGGCAUUUUUCCUGGUGCUGGCACUAGCUGUCAUCGCUUCUUGCAUCGCUUAUCCCGCAAGUGAACACAGCGAGAAAGACGCAGAACCGAACUCACUCAAGCAAGAGGGACGUGCCUUAGAAACACUGGGAAAGAUUUUGCAAGGAAAAGAUACCAUGACUGAAGGCCAUGCAGCCCUGGCGGAACUCGCGAGUCAACUAGGGGCCUUCCAUGGCACGGACACCCAACUGGAUGAGAACGCCUCUGAGUACUUUUUCAAGAAGCUCCGGAGGAUAGUCGAGAAUGUCGCUAAGGUAGUUGUGAUAAACAAAGCUGUUGGUGCCGUCGCUGGAAUGAUUGGAUAAAUCUGAUUCCUAAUGUGAAUUAGCAUCUUCGCUGUAUAAAAUAAAUGUGUUAGAAUAUGACCGACGA